This is a long non-coding RNA of Athalia rosae (coleseed sawfly), 1740 nucleotides long. RefSeq lists it as uncharacterized. The record is from RefSeq and is a predicted model, not a curated record. NCBI's taxonomy places the organism in Eukaryota, Metazoa, Arthropoda, Insecta, Hymenoptera, Athaliidae. The transcript has 4 exons.
ACAAACAAACCAGACCAGUCGAAUCCGUGGCGAAGAAAUCGUCGUCAACUGCGGCGUCGUAGUCCGUAGUAAUGAAUCAUUUGAUCGCCGGUAUUCGUCGGGGAGUGAUCGUCGGCACUUGGAGAGUUAAGAGCGGAUGAACCGAAGAAACAUCGAACGCGACUCGCCCGGUGUUCAAAUGUAAUCACACUCGGCUGGUGGUGCUCCGCCAGCGUAUCAUGGAUUUGAAUAAACAAGAGUAGCGUACGUACGUGUGCGUGCAACGUAGUGCGUAUCGGUGAUGACGUCGCGUCGCGGUGUAGCUGAACGUACAAAGAUGUACGACGGUGAAUAAAAUAUUCGUGUAACGCGAAUUGAGAAAAGUGAGUGAACAUCGCACGGAGUAUACGAGGCGACAUCGCGAAUAUUCGCGAUUCAAGAGAGGAGUCGGGAAGUGCGUGAAGAAGGACGAAAAAAAAAAAAAAAAAACAAAGAAGCCGCGGGGCGCGUUGAAGUGCGUAUGAAAUCCCCGUGGAAAAUAUAAUACUUUUCUUCCCGUAUUCUCCUCCUUCUUUUUUUUUCGGAGUGAAGGAGACAUUAAUUGAGGCCGUUGAGUCGCUGCUGCCUGCAGAGACGUCAGUCAAGGAACGAGAAUUCCGCGUCGGGACGGAGGGCGAAAUGUGCUCGUCAAAGCGACGUUCCGGGGAAGGGUUUUUGGAGAAAGCGUCGCGGGGUGUCGGGCGACGCGGGAUUCGUUUGGCGAAGGUAUCCGGAAGGCGCAUAUUAAUACGCGCGACAUUGUCGCAGAACUUGAAAUCGCGUCCCGACCACGGAUAUCAAGAGCUGAGCCCGAGGAAAAUUCAACUGAAUUGGUGACGAGUGCAGAUUCGCAAUCGGUAGCCUGACUGCACUGCGGGAUGUUCGAACGUGCUUCUGACGUGGGUGCCUACUCAGGGGUACCCGCUUCUUUCUUAGGGGGGUUGUAAGUAAGCUGGGAAGUAACAAAGUAACGAAGUAUCAUAGCCGGCCGACUUCACGAAUUUUCAUGUCGCCGAAUCUCUUCUCCGUUCGCGAGGAAUUUGUGCGGGUGUUAUUACAGAUAACUUUAUUCCCUCUUAAAUUAUUCCCUUCUCCGGUGGGAGGGUGUGAGCGGCAGAGGCGAGGGCUCCUUCCUCCGUCCUCUUUUUUUAACCACUUCACUUUGCCGAGGAACCAACGAACGCCGACUACCCGGCGGCUCACGCGGUGAUACACCUUGUAUUUUUCGUCCGUUUUCAGACGCGCGCACUUAUCUCGCGUAUUAUGCGUGCCCGUGCUUUAUUCGCGCGCGUGUACAACGCGAAACGUAGAAAUUUAUGAAAGCCCUCGAGUGUAGGAACAUUGCACCGCUGAUCGUUACCCGCUUCGUCGUACGCAUCUUCAUUUCUGCCGUUUGAAGAGCCCGAGGAAAAGAACGGCGUCAGUCGCUAACCGAACCGCAACCCACCCGCUUUCCAGGUAUAUGAAUAACAGUCGAGGACGAGAGAUCUGCGGGGAGUCGAGAGAGGGUGGGUGAUAUGUGAAGAGAAACGAGACGUCAUGUCAACGACCCGGCAAACGGGAUAACGUACCGGGUUUGGUAGAGGGUAAGAUCGUCGCGUGUACCGCAUACCGGGGACGAAAGCUCGUAUUCGUCUUCGUUCCAUUUUUACUUUUUUUUCUCCCCUCUUAUUUCCGACCGCCCUUCGUUCUCCCCGUUUCGGCAUCCCCGUAAUCUCAUGU